RNAcentral lists this small RNA (16 nucleotides) under Arabidopsis thaliana (thale cress). RNAcentral's name for it is "ATSL000340". Lineage: Eukaryota; Viridiplantae; Streptophyta; Magnoliopsida; Brassicales; Brassicaceae. The record is from RNAcentral.
AGAAGGAGGAGAAGAA